RNAcentral lists this long non-coding RNA (1276 nucleotides) under Cairina moschata (Muscovy duck). Its description in RNAcentral is "domestica (muscovy Duck (domestic type)) lncRNA (ENSCMMG00000014514.1)". The record is from RNAcentral. Lineage: Eukaryota; Metazoa; Chordata; Aves; Anseriformes; Anatidae.
CACGGCAUGGUGCACCUUCGGCUUGCUCUGGAAAAGAAAGUGCAGGCAGCACGGCUCCAUCGCCCACACACUGCCAUGUGGUCAGGGUGAUGCAGCGCUGCUCUUGCUCAACCCUUGGACCGGCACUAGGGUCUCCAUCCAGCAGGGUCUGCUGCGAUGUGGCAUGUAGUGAAAACCCUCCUUGUGCCUUGGCUUUGAAACAAAGCAUGGCCAUAGCUCUGAAAUGAUGUUAUGGAGCUCUGACCAAAAGACAACUCACAGGAUUCUGGAAUGGUUUCUAUGCACUAACAGAAUGAGGAGCACAGCAGAGACAAUGCAUGCUGUACCAUGGGUUUAUGAGCGCCUCCAGCAGCACGCCCAACCUGCCUGUGGCCACUGCUUGCCCUUCUCCUGCAGUCUCAGAGCAAGAUGUGUGGCAUAGGCUCACCAUCCCUGCUGCCUGCAUCAGGGAGGUGUUAUUUAAUGGGAAGGGACUGUAUGGUUUUCUCCCAACACCUGAUUUUGCUAUUAGUGCUCUGGGAUACAGAGAGGGGAAGGACACUAACAGGAGCUUUUCAUGCUCAUCCUUUGCUCAGACUGAUGACAUAAGGAAAUACUUGUGUGUGAUUUCUGAGUUACAACUGAACUUUUGGUCAAAGAUACAGCAAAGCCAGCAUGUGAAACUUGAGCUGAAUGUAAAUUCAAUCCAGGAAAUUGUUUAGGUACCUGCCUAAUUUUAACCAGUGAAAUAGUCCUACUGCAUUCACCUGAAUUACUUGAGUGCUUGAAGAUAAACAUUUGCCAACAUCAACCCCCGAGCCCCCUGAUCUGUGCUUCUCCAAGACCUGCAUGGGGUUGGGGCUGGGCAAGCAAAGUGAGGGUCUCCUGUAAACCGUGCUUCAAGUAGGUACCGGUCACACAUAGGCAGGUAUCUCAGAGCAGUAAGUACCACACCAAAGGCAAUCUCCAUCCUUUUUCCAGUGUUCACCCCUCAGUCCUUGUCUUGCUGGGAAACAAAUGUCUCCAAAUGCCCACCAUCCCUGACCUCAAGGGCGCUACAUGCCCAAGGGCUGAGCACGUGCCCAUGUGCCACCAGCGAUGCCCAUGCCAUCAUGGUGGGACCAGGCUCGGUGUUGGGAUGGGGGUGAAGCACCUCUGCGCAGCCAGGGCCCGUCCACAUCACCGGUACCUGCUGUGGGGCACACUCGGUGCCUUUUUCCCUGUGCAGCCAAGCUACCUUUCUUCCAGGAGGCCAGUGGAGGUCUCUAUAUUUUAUUCACAUAAUCCAGACCUUCAG